RNAcentral lists this unclassified non-coding RNA (470 nucleotides) under Hevea brasiliensis (rubber tree). The record is from RNAcentral. Lineage: Eukaryota; Viridiplantae; Streptophyta; Magnoliopsida; Malpighiales; Euphorbiaceae.
GUUUGAAAGGAUGAAUAAAAUAUUACUAGUGAUAUUUCUUGUCUACAUUUUUUGUUUGUAACAAAAUUUUAGGAUUUUAGGGGGAAAAAGAAACAAAUUGAGGGACAAACCAUGAAUUUGUAGGGCUUCUAAGACAAAUAACCAAGCUAACUACUCAAUCAAACCCAAAACUCAGCAAGCAAAAUUUUCCCUGAUUAAAGUCCCCCAUAUUUCCAGUUAUUGUCUCCACACAUCUGAAAAGCCAAAUAUCAUCAUUUCAUCCAAAAGCCGUCCUGUCUCUUUUUCAUAGACAACACAAUACAGCUCCCAAACUUCUUUACUCAAAACAAAAAUUUCUAGUACCUCAGCCAAAUCAGACUGGUGGCUGAGGUUGUGCUGGCUCUCAGGACGGAACUUCAUGUUAACCAACUUUUCAACAAUUUCCUAUUUCAUUUUUGGAUUAACUUGUCAAAUUAAUCAAGCUGUUCUUG